CCUACGGGAGGCUGCAGUGGGGAAUAUUGGACAAUGGGGGCAACCCUGAUCCAGCCAUGCCGCGUGUGUGAAGAAGGCCCUCGGGUUGUAAAGCACUUUCAGUGAGGAAGAACGCCUGGUGGUUAAUACCCAUCAGGAAAGACAUCACUCACAGAAGAAGCACCGGCUAACUCCGUGCCAGCAGCCGCGGUAAUACGGAGGGUGCGAGCGUUAAUCGGAAUUACUGGGCGUAAAGCGCGCGUAGGUGGCUUGAUAAUCCGGUUGUGAAAGCCCCGGGCUCAACCUGGGAACGGCAUCCGGAACUGUCAAGCUAGAGUGCAGGAGAGGAAGGUAGAAUUCCCGGUGUAGCGGUGAAAUGCGUAGAGAUCGGGAGGAAUACCAGUGGCGAAGGCGGCCUUCUGGACUGACACUGACACUGAGGUGCGAAAGCGUGGGUAGCAAACAGGAUUAGAUACCCCUGUAGUC
RNAcentral lists this ribosomal RNA (465 nucleotides) under Vreelandella stevensii. RNAcentral's name for it is "partial 16S ribosomal RNA". It matches the Rfam family "Bacterial small subunit ribosomal RNA", at positions 338 to 795 of the family's 1533-position model. Lineage: Bacteria; Pseudomonadati; Pseudomonadota; Gammaproteobacteria; Oceanospirillales; Halomonadaceae. The record is from RNAcentral.